This 843-nucleotide ribosomal RNA is filed under the name uncultured bacterium. Its description in RNAcentral is "bacterial SSU rRNA". It matches the Rfam family "Bacterial small subunit ribosomal RNA", at positions 61 to 918 of the family's 1533-position model. The record is from RNAcentral.
ACCUUACCGGAUUCUUCGGAUGAAAGUUUGGUGACUGAGUGGCGAACGGGUGAGUAACGCGUGGGUAACCUGCCCUGUACAGGGGGAUAACAGCUGGAAACGGCUGCUAAUACCGCAUAAGCGCACGAGGAGACAUCUCCUUGUGUGAAAAACUCCGGUGGUACAGGAUGGGCCCGCGUCUGAUUAGCUGGUUGGCAGGGUAACGGCCUACCAAGGCAACGAUCAGUAGCCGGUCUGAGAGGAUGAACGGCCACAUUGGAACUGAGACACGGUCCAAACUCCUACGGGAGGCAGCAGUGGGGAAUAUUGCACAAUGGGGGAAACCCUGAUGCAGCAACGCCGCGUGAGUGAAGAAGUAUUUCGGUAUGUAAAGCUCUAUCAGCAGGGAAGAUAAUGACGGUACCUGACUAAGAAGCUCCGGCUAAAUACGUGCCAGCAGCCGCGGUAAUACGUAUGGAGCAAGCGUUAUCCGGAUUUACUGGGUGUAAAGGGUGCGUAGGUGGCAGUGCAAGUCAGAUGUGAAAGGCCGGGGCUCAACCCCGGAGCUGCAUUUGAAACUGCUCGGCUAGAGUACAGGAGAGGCAGGCGGAAUUCCUAGUGUAGCGGUGAAAUGCGUAGAUAUUAGGAGGAACACCAGUGGCGAAGGCGGCCUGCUGGACUGUUACUGACACUGAGGCACGAAAGCGUGGGGAGCAAACAGAAUUAGAUACCCUGGUAGUCCACGCCGUAAACGAUGAAUACUAGGUGUCGGGGCCGUAUAGGCUCCGGUGCCGCCGCUAACGCAGUAAGUAUUCCACCUGGGGAGUACGUUCGCAAGAAUGAAACUCAAAGGAAUUGACGGGG